CAGUCCUACGGGGGGCAGCAGUGGGGAAUAUUGGACAAUGGGGGGAACCCUGAUCCAGCGACGCCGCGUGAGUGAAGAAGUAUUUCGGUAUGUAAAGCUCUAUCAGCAGGGAAGAAAGAAAUGACGGUACCUGACUAAGAAGCCCCGGCUAACUACGUGCCAGCAGCCGCGGUAAUACGUAGGGGGCAAGCGUUAUCCGGAUUUACUGGGUGUAAAGGGAGCGUAGACGGCAGGGCAAGUCUGGAGUGAAAGCCCGGGGCCCAACCCCGGGACUGCUUUGGAAACUGCCAUGCUAGCGUGCUGGA
Molecule: ribosomal RNA, 305 nt
Filed under: uncultured bacterium
Lineage: Bacteria
Description: bacterial SSU rRNA
Rfam family: Bacterial small subunit ribosomal RNA
Source: RNAcentral